CCCUCUCACUUUCUCAAUUUCUUUCCUACUCCUCUCAAUAUUCAUCUCAUGCCUUCGAUCCCUAACUCUACUCCAAACAACCGCCACAAGAAAUCCGUCAAGCCAACCCGUGCUCAGUCGUCGUCGAAUCCAAUACCUUUAUCCCGCGGGCCCAACCUUGUUGUCGUCGAGCCACCACAUGCCUAACCUUGUUCUCGUCUUUGUUAUGAAAAAAUUAAUCAAUUAUUUGUCCACACUCCACUCUCUCCCAUUCUCCCCCUUCUUUACACUCUCUGUUUCAUAUCUGCAACCAAUUUCUCCUUUCCGAAUUUCAACUUCUAUAGGGCUUUCGAAUUUUGUGGUGUUGGAGUUGGGUAUUGGAGGUGUUGACCUAAAUUGUUCUCUUCUCUCAACCCAUUUUUAAAGUGGCCCAACCUUAGGUGAAGAUGUAUUUGUAUUUUAACAUUCUAUCCAUUGGAGCAACUUUAAGAAAAUGAUUGAACCAUGGAACUAUCACACUUUCAGCUGAAGGUCUUGCAUGAGAAUGAGAAAGUUAUCGGUUCUUGCCAGAGAAUGGGAAGAGGUGUGGUUGUUACCAGUAUCUUUAUCAUAGAUUUAUUGUUACAAAUAAUGGAUCGAGACAUGAUGUUGCUGGCUUGAGGUCAGGAUGUAUUUAAUUCAUUCAACGAAAGGUGCUUGUUAAGUAAUUUCAUAGUGUUAUGGAGUAUGAAUAACAUGAAAAACGAGCUUGGAGUGUUGAUUUUUCACGUUCUGAACCUUCCAUGUUUGUAUCAAGCAGUGAUGACUUUAAGGUAUUUGAUUGAAGCACACACUAUCUUGAGUUGGUGAAGAUUAUUGAUUCAAAAUUAGAUUUGUGAUUCAAAAUUAGACUUGUGAUUGAUGCGCACAAGUGAAGAUUAACUAGCAAUUCUCUAAUUUCUGCAUUGCAAUUUUUUCAUUUUCUUCAAUGGUUAGAUUUGUAGCAGAAGAUAUUUGACUUGUCAACUGUGGCACUUGGAAAAUACUAUCCUUUGUUGAGUCGUAUCUGUAAUUAGGCAAUAUAAUUUUGGAUCCAUGCUGAAAUUGUUACUAGCACAUGAUUUGUAGAAAUUGUCCAAUACAAUUGUGUAUUACUCAAGUCUGGGUCAAAGGGUUAAUAGUUUAUCAGUUGUGGGUGUUUUGUUUUCUUAAACAAGUUCUUCUCUUGCUUACUAACUUCAAGUUACAACAUUAUUAGGUUCUUUCCAUUAUGUUUUUUCUGAUACUAUUCUCAGGUACAUUGCUCCUUUUCUUUUAAUAGGUCAAAAUUUGGUACACAUAAGACAUUAGGGAAUUGCUUAUUGACUUCAAAUUGAUUACUUUAGGCGACCGUUGAAGGUUGAAGGCUUAGAAGGCAUUUAAGAUUUCUAAUUAUUUAGGAUUUUUUUUCAUGUACUGUUCUAGAAUGUAUAUAUAAACACAACAUUAAGAUUUCAUUUUGUAUAUACAAAUGUAAAAGACAAAUAUUAUAGUUUCUUAAAUAAUAUUAAUUUCAUUGA
Cucumis melo (muskmelon) is the source of this 1517-nucleotide long non-coding RNA. RefSeq lists it as uncharacterized. The record is from RefSeq and is a predicted model, not a curated record. Lineage: Eukaryota; Viridiplantae; Streptophyta; Magnoliopsida; Cucurbitales; Cucurbitaceae. The transcript has 4 exons.